RNA transcript from Alligator sinensis (Chinese alligator), 7373 nucleotides. It is a transcript of the gene named histone deacetylase 1, with no coding region annotated. NCBI's taxonomy places the organism in Eukaryota, Metazoa, Chordata, Crocodylia, Alligatoridae. The record is from RefSeq and is a predicted model, not a curated record. The transcript has 17 exons.
AUGGCGCUGACGCAGGGGACCAAGCGGAAAGUCUGUUAUUACUAUGAUGGGGACGUUGGAAACUACUAUUAUGGCCAGGGCCAUCCAAUGAAACCCCACAGGAUCCGAAUGACCCAUAACCUCCUGCUGUACUAUGGCCUUUACAGAAAAAUGGAGAUCUAUCGUCCCCACAAAGCGAAUGCUGAAGAAAUGACCAAGUACCAUAGUGAUGACUACAUUAAAUUUCUGAGAUCUAUACGCCCAGAUAAUAUGUCUGAGUACAGCAAGCAGAUGCAAAGAUUCAACGUUGGGGAAGAUUGCCCCGUGUUUGAUGGAUUGUUUGAGUUUUGUCAGCUGUCUGCAGGAGGAUCUGUCGCCAGUGCUGUGAAGCUGAACAAACAACAAACAGAUAUUGCUGUGAAUUGGGCAGGAGGCCUUCACCAUGCUAAGAAAUCAGAGGCUUCUGGUUUCUGUUAUGUCAACGAUAUAGUCUUAGCCAUCUUGGAACUGCUAAAGUACCACCAGAGAGUGCUGUAUAUUGACAUUGAUAUUCACCAUGGAGAUGGUGUGGAGGAGGCCUUUUAUACCACAGACCGUGUCAUGACAGUAUCCUUCCAUAAAUAUGGAGAAUACUUCCCAGGAACAGGGGACCUGCGGGAUAUUGGUGCAGGCAAAGGCAAAUAUUAUGCUGUCAACUAUCCCCUCCGGGACGGGAUUGACGAUGAGUCCUAUGAGGCAAUAUUUAAGCCGGUGAUAUCUAAAGUGAUGGAGACGUUCCAGCCCAGCGCAGUUGCCCUGCAGUGUGGAUCAGAUUCUCUGUCAGGGGACAGGUUGGGCUGUUUUAAUCUGACCAUCAAAGGUCAUGCCAAGUGUGUGGAGUUCGUAAAGAGUUUUAAUUUGCCCAUGCUGAUGUUAGGAGGAGGUGGCUACACAAUCCGCAAUGUGGCUAGAUGCUGGACCUACGAGACGGCUGUAGCUUUGGACACUGAAAUUCCAAAUGAGCUUCCGUAUAAUGACUAUUUCGAAUACUUUGGACCAGACUUUAAACUCCACAUCAGUCCUUCAAAUAUGACCAAUCAGAACACCAAUGAGUAUCUUGAGAAGAUUAAGCAGCGUCUCUUUGAGAACUUACGCAUGCUUCCUCAUGCCCCUGGCGUCCAGAUGCAGCCAAUUCCUGAGGAUGCUGUUCAGGAAGAUAGUGGAGAUGAAGAUGAAGAAGAUCCUGACAAACGCAUUUCAAUCCGCAAUUCUGAUAAGAGAAUAGCCUGUGAUGAAGAAUUCUCAGAUUCUGAAGAUGAAGGAGAAGGUGGUCGCAAAAAUGUUGCCAACUAUAAGAAAGCCAAGCGUGCAAAAACAGAAGAGGAUAAAGAGGAGGAGGAGAAAAAAGAUGAGAAAGAAGAGGAGAAAACAAAAGAGGAGAAAGCAGAACCUAAAGGGGUAAAGGAAGAGACUAAAUCAGCCUAAGAUGACUGCAGCUGGACAAUACCUGUCAGUACAUAGUUAUCAUAGAAUGGACACGGCCUGGACAGAUGCAGUGCGAGUUUCUCCCGCGCCGCAUCACCCUAUGCGUCUGUCCCCUUACCUGGAGAGAGCACCUGGACUAAGGAGAGAAUUCAGUCCAUUCACUCCUCUGUGUUGCUGGGAUGGAUGCUGAGGCACGCUGCAGGACCAGGCUUUGUGGAAUGGGACUGAUGCCAUCAGUUUGCAGAAGCCAUCAAACAGUCACGAGAUGGUCUAGUCUUCACUGCACCUCAAACUAUGCUACCCCAGAUGUGACGGUCACCCUGGAUCCCCAGCCAGUUGCUGCCUGACCUAGUGUUCUUAAUGCCUCCACCGCAGCGAGCGGCUGUUCCUGAGCAUUUGAUCCCCGGCUGAAAUGCCCCACCGCACCCGACACGCAGAUCUGGGCUCCAGACCAAGCAGCUGGCCACACAAUGAGUCCAUCUGGCCUCCUUGGGCUGCACCUCACCCUGUCGGUCUAUAAGUCGCCAUCUGCUCUUAAAGGCGAAGUGUGUUGUUUCUCUGCGGUGCACGAGUGCUCCUGUUCCCUCACCUCGAGGGAUUAUCCCAGGCCAGGCUGGGUCCUGCUCUCUAGCAAGCACAUCUCCACUCAGGCCUGCUCCCCGAAGCAGAUCCCGCAGGCUGUAGCAGCCUGGCAUUGCUAUGGGAAGCUCAGUGAUUUGGAGGAAGGGCUGGUUGCUGUGCUGUGGAGGUCCUGCACCAGCGAUCCCAAUCCCUUCAGACUGGCAAGGAGCCGAUGAGCAAGCUCUGUAAGCUGAGCAACACGGCAGGGCUCGCAUCCCAAGUCUGGGCUCCGGCAGGUCCCUUUUUCGCAUGUGCCAGGAGACUGGUGAUGUUGGCUGGCUAGCAAGAAAGGACUGGACAGCGCUGGCAAAGUCUCCCCAAGGGAGACCCAAGCCAGGACAUCUCAGGUGCCUCAGAGUAGGGGGAGCUGGGGUGGGUGCUGGUCUAUGCAGCAUUGGCAAAGCUGAGCACAGAAUACAUUCCUUUUGCCAUGAGAGACCAGAGCUAGCCCAGCUGAUGCAAGCUACACUUGAGGCAUGGGGGCUAAAGGGGGGGAUCACAGUUUAGGGUUAGGAUGGUACCAUGCCCUUAAGCAGCCUGGCACUGCUCCACUGGGGCUUUGGAUGCUCCUUUGAGCUUUGGGGACUGUUGAGGCACAGCUGCCUCCCUCUUGGGGCUUGGCAAAGAAGGAGGGGUCUGUGUGCCCGCUGGAGUGUGGCAGGGUGAGCGUCCUCCCAGGUGCUCCAUCCUCCGCCCAGCCUGGCAGCUCCGCCGGUGUCGAUGAAAGCAGAGACAGAUGGAGAGAGCAGCGCAGGGCUCAGCUGGGACCAGAAAGCAUGGAAAUGGCAGAGAAUGGGCUGAGGCUCCUGUUACAGAGACAAACAGAAAGGGCAAAGGGGUGGGUUAGGAAGAGGGGGUGAGGGUGGGAAUGAAAGGGGAGGAGAAGGGGGCCAUGGCAGAAAGAAGAGCCAGAUUAAGAGGUGGCAAGGGAGUGAAGGGAAUCGGCUGCAGGGGGCUGGGGGGGCAAUGAAGCUGGAUGGAUCGAGGGAAACGCAAAGCACACGGAUCUCUUGUAUCUUCAUUCCAGCCUCACUCAUCCCUUCUCACCUCCCCCUUCCCCUUGCUCAUGGUGUCAGUCAGCCCCACACCUGUUUGAUUGCUUUAUUAUUAGCUUUUCUUCUUGCUGAUUGUCUAAUUCUGGUGUGCCAUUUGGAAGAAAAAGCCCUCCUCUCUGAAUCUGCUAUUAAAGCCAGCUGUUUCUCCCUGUGCAGGAGGGGUGGCUGGGUCUGUCCCAAAAGCUGUUAAUCUCCAGGAGCAAAGGCACUCGACACAAAUUAUUCUGAAUCUAUUCUAAUUGGUUUUAUUUCCUCCCCCUUCUUGUAAAAUGAAUUUGUUUAGAUGACAAAGUAUGUAUCUGUGUGUGUGUGUAAUUACCAAUGAGGAUCUGCAUAUGCUCAUUUAGUUUUUGGCAGCUACAUGGUGCUGCUGAUUAAGGAAUAUGAAAUGAACCUGCAAUGGGAAUUUAUGGGCCAAAUUCUGCUUUUUUUUUUUUUUUUUUUUACUGCUGUGAGACUCUCUUGCCCAGGUUUCUUCAGACUGCAAAGUCUAACUGAGAAGGGCAUUCAGUUUUAGACAUUGUAAUACUCUGGUGUGCUUGUAUUUUGGGGGGGGGAAGGGUAUGGCAGUGCCCCCUGCUGGGUAGAAUAGACACUGUUCAGCUGUGUGUCAUAAGUCCUAUAUCCCCAGCUGUGAAUAAGGGGACUUGUGUAGCACUGUCUUCAACUUCUAAAGCUUUUGGAGCAAAGGCGUGCGAUGUAUUCUGUGCUCACCUUAACUGCAUAUGGGGUAAGGGCAUAAUUCUGCUUUACAGUAUAACAGGAUACUGGUCCCAACUUGCCGUAAUAGACUCUGGUGAUCUACACGUUGCUUCAGUGCAUAGGGACGCUCAGCCUCUGUCUACUUUGUAAGGGAAAUGCUGUGUUUAAUUGCAGAAUUAGUGGAAAGCUGCCAAUUUGGGGAAUUUUAAAGCAAGGUCCUGUCAGUUUUGAAGCUGCUGUGAGAGGCACGGGGGACUCGGAGGUGUGGAAAGCUUAGCUAGGCUGCUUCGUACAGAGCUGUGCUUACGUGGAGUUUGGGUAAGCAGGCAGCUUUCUGUGCUUUUGUGUUUAGUCCCCAGGCUAAGCGUGUGUAUGGCAUACUCGGUGCCUGUUCAGGGCAGGGCUGUGACAUCUCCCUGUAAAACAAGUGAUUUGUUCUUGCCCAGGAAAAUCAAGCAUGGGCCGCAUCCUUUAUCUGGAACCACUCAGGACCUGAGAUGCAAAGCUUAGAUUCAGAAAGGGAGCUCAUUGAUGCCAAAGCCUGGGCAUGAUCUUUGCAUCUGAAGGCAUAGUUGGGGUCCUAGUCUGUCUGAGACAUGAGGUUCCUGAUGCAGGUGUCAUCUAAGGACCUUGCAGAGGCAGAAUACCAAAGAAAGAGCUAGUGCGGUCCUGGAAAAAAGAUACCAGUUGCUGCAGUUUUCUAUGCUUUUCUCCAUGGGCAAAGCCCCAAGGGAUGAGAAAGCUCAGAAGAUGUGUUCUUCAACCUGAGAAGGCUCCUUGCUGUCAGAUGGCCAGGGACACCUGGGAAUAAAUACUGCUGCAUUCUUGGCCUGAGUGAACAGGAUAUGCCUUGUAAAUCUCUUUAGCCAUCUGUGUCCACUAAAACUCUAGCUAAAUAGGUCCCUCCUUGACUGAUCAGUGAUGACCACUGACAAACCUGGCCCUCUUUCAGCUGCAGAACCCAGAACGGUUUGCAGAGAAGGGCGAGUACAACUAUCCUCACUUCAGUAGUAGGGAAACUGAGGCAGAAGCUGACGUGACCUAAAGAGGCAGAGCAAGCUUGUAGAAGAGCUAGGAUUUGGAGCGCAGGUCUUUUUGCAGCCAGCUCCACUGCAGAGAAUUGGGUUUUUUUGGUAUGAAGGCAUUUAGAAAGGUGGAAAGGCCAGAGAGAGUUGUAUUUUCCCUGUCUACAAGCUGCUGGGCACUGACGGAGCAUGGAGAGAGAGUCCAUGGGAGAGGAAAACUCAAAGCCUUUUGGGGGGAACUGAUGCUUCAUACUUGGACUGUAAGUUUUGAGGGGCAAGAACUGCUUCCCUGUUUAUACAGUGCCUAGCACAGUGAGACCCUGAUUCACACUUGAUGCUCUCCAGGGCCUCUGUAAUCUAUAAUAAAAGCAAAACGAUUCCUAGAGGGGAAGAAAAAGAUGGAAAUGCUUUUCUGGCUGCAUAGCUCUGUGCGUGCUUCAAGGAGAGGGGGCAAGCCCUAGGCCGCAGCAGAGAGAACAGACAGACAAGGUCAACCCGUCACACUUUUCCUUGAAGAAGCAAGGACUUUUAUUUGUGCUGAUUAUCUUUUAUUGGAUCAAGUGCACUGCUGGGAGAGAUGACAGAUGAGCUUCCUCAGGUCACAAGGGCACUUUGCGCUUGAAAGUUUUAUCUAACGUCUCUCCCACCUCUGCAGCUGGUCCCGUAAAAGGUAUCGCCCCCCGGCCCCGUUGCUUCUCCUAUGUGUCCUGGCCCAUUUUGGCGAUAACAGCACCCCAACCCUACUACACGUUUCCUUGUCUUUGCAAGGAGAUUUAGGCUUGGACGGCGUGUGGUUCUUGGUUUGCGGUCACCAGAAUGACCUGCUAAAACUAGAGGCGCUGCCUCCGCUUUUAACCGGGUGCUUGGUUUGUGUGAUAUCAUCCUUAUUCCUGGCUGAUUUAGUGCGCAACCUCCCCUCCCCAUCCCAGCAUGUGUGUGUUUUAUACACACGCACUCCCUUUUAAAUGUAACCCCAUUCCCUAGAGCUCCCUGGAUGCCUGGGCUCGUUGGAUGUGCUGUCCUUUAUAUUUGGACAUGCCCCAGAUAGCACCCGGCAGCCUGGCUGGUUGAGGUCAUGGUGCUAUUAGAGGCUGCAGGCGAGAGGGAGCUGAGUACAAGUGCCUGAGCACCCAGACCAACUUCAGACUUUCUCAGCCCGACGAAGGGCGUUUGUAACCGAAAGCUUGCAAAGAAGAAUUUUCCCAACUGUGUGAGUUGGUCUGAGAAAAGGUAUCGGAUUUACCCAAAGAACGUCUGCCCACGUCCUUAGACCACCACGGCUACAACCUACACCCCUGAGCACCCCUCCGAUUUGGGCCUCGCUUUCCCUAGCAGACUAUCGAGGGACAAACCGGCCCAGCCAAUGACACACGGCAGCAGAGCAUUACCUCAUCAGGGCACUCACUCAUUGGAUGGACAAUGCUUGGAGGACAGGGCACCGUUACCCAGCAACUACCGAGAACGAAUUAACCCCUUGGUGGCUGUGGCAUGUGCAGCAGCGAGAAUGGCAGCUUGCUUCCCAUGGCGGGCUCGUCCGUAGGGCUCAAGGCCUGGCUGCUUGCUCCUCGGGGAUCCUGGAGGGCAACCGAGGGAGCAGGGAGACUGGGGGACAGCGAGAAGAGGGAGGGGGAAUGGCCAGUCGGUAUGCGCAAGCGAAGGCAGCCAGGCCCUGCGUGAGCCUCCUUGGAGCAGAGCGAAACCUGCCUCGGCGUGAGACGCUGGGAGGGCAAAGAAGCCCUUAAUUAGCUGCUUCAGGGUUGGGGCUUUAUUAGUGGGAUAAAAGGUUGUUAGGGAAGAAUUAAAGCUCCCAGCCUCCAGGUCCUGGGCAAUUACCAGCGCAGCCGGGCUAAGCCGUGCUCAGGAAGGCACCCUGUCUGGUUUGGGGGGGCCUCUUGGCCCCCACCGUUUGCUGACUCCCUCCUCUUCCUCAGUCGGGGCCUGCCCAGCCUUUCCCACCUGCUGCUCCUCUCCUCUGGCCAAGCCCCUUGCCAGAGGAGAGGCUGCAUGGGGCUGUCUGGACGGGCGACUCCGCAGCGCCUGUUCUGAAUCGGGGUACCCGCAGCAUGAGCGGGCAGACAAGCCCAGCUGCCCCUUUGUCCCCAAGUCACACGGCAUCCUCCUGGGACGGGACACAGCUGCAAUGCCUGUCUGCAGAGCCUGGAGUGCUGGACCAGCGCUGACGAGUCCGUCCUCACAUCCGCACUUGCGGGGAUGACCAGCAUCCUUCACAUCCCUCCGAAGGGACACCCAGGCCUGGAGCUACGUCACCGUCGCAGCCUGAGCCCAGGACCCCUGUCUCAGCCUCCUGCUCUGAGCACUAGCCCAGUACAUGGCUCUAUCUCCGAGUGCUCUCGUGACCGACCGAUUGGGGUCCCACCCUGGUCCUCGCAUGCAGCUCUCCUGGCCUGAGGGCCCGGCAGAUGCUCAUGGACCAGCUGCCCACCGCAGCCACAGGCUAAGUGCUGCCACUCUGCUCCAAGUCUCUCUGCUGCUCAGGAUCUGGUUGCUCCCUCCCCGUGUCUCUACC